This 29-nucleotide non-coding RNA is filed under the name Rattus norvegicus (Norway rat). Lineage: Eukaryota; Metazoa; Chordata; Mammalia; Rodentia; Muridae. The record is from RNAcentral.
UUGGAGUCCGUGGCUCAUUGUUCACCCUC